UUGGAUUUCACUAUCUUAUUCGCAUUCGGGAUUGGUGUCGGCAACACACAUGUCCCAAUAUGCACAAAGAGAAAUUGUAGUAGUAUUUUAUUAGGUAAUGGGGAAAGAGAAAACAUGUCAACACAAGUCAGGUGUAGUUUGUGGAUGAAAAUGGGAGGAGGAUGCUUGAAUUCAAAUUUUAAAUUUUAAAUUUGAAUUUUUAUUAAAAAAAAUUAAAAAAAAUAAUCAUUGGAAAGCGAUGGUCUUGGGCUGAAACCGUCAAUUCGGUCGACU
Molecule: long non-coding RNA, 273 nt
Filed under: Salvia miltiorrhiza (redroot sage)
Lineage: Eukaryota; Viridiplantae; Streptophyta; Magnoliopsida; Lamiales; Lamiaceae
Description: long non-coding RNA (SMIL_LNC013026)
Source: RNAcentral